Molecule: ribosomal RNA, 407 nt
Filed under: uncultured bacterium
Lineage: Bacteria
Description: partial 16S ribosomal RNA
Rfam family: Bacterial small subunit ribosomal RNA
Source: RNAcentral
AUUGAACGCUAGCGGGAUGCCUUACACAUGCAAGUCGAACGGAGUGGCGAACGGGUGCGUAAUGUAUCGGAACGUGCACAGUAGCGGGGGAUAUCUACGCGUAAGCGUAGCUAAUACCGCAUACUAUUGGUGUGGCCGAUAUCGGAUUCGCUUGUUGGUGUGGUAACGGCGCACCAAGGCGACGAUCCGUAGCUGGUUUUAGAGGACGACCAGCACAACUGGGACUGAGACACGGCCCAGAAUCCUACGGGAGGCAGCAGUGGGGAAUUUUGGACAAUGGGGGAAACCCUGAUCCAGCCAGCCCGCGUGUAGGAUGAAGGCCUUCGGGUUGUAAAGCACUUUUGGCAGGGAAGCGGUACCUGCAGAAUAAGCACCGGCUAACUACGUGCCAGCAGCCGCGGUAAUAC